GUGCCCGUAGCUCAGUUGGUAGAGCAGUGCCCUUUUAAGGCAUUGGCCGAAGGUUCGAGUCCUUCCGGGCACACUA
Molecule: transfer RNA, 76 nt
Filed under: Fidelibacterota bacterium
Lineage: Bacteria; Pseudomonadati; Fidelibacterota
Description: tRNA-Lys
Rfam family: tRNA
About the family: Transfer RNA (tRNA) molecules are approximately 80 nucleotides in length. Their secondary structure includes four short double-helical elements and three loops (D, anti-codon, and T loops). Further hydrogen bonds mediate the characteristic L-shaped molecular structure. tRNAs have two regions of fundamental functional importance: the anti-codon, which is responsible for specific mRNA codon recognition, and the 3' end, to which the tRNAs corresponding amino acid is attached (by aminoacyl-tRNA synthetases). tRNAs cope with the degeneracy of the genetic code in two manners: having more than one tRNA (with a specific anti-codon) for a particular amino acid; and 'wobble' base-pairing, i.e. permitting non-standard base-pairing at the 3rd anti-codon position.
Source: RNAcentral